GACAGAGGGGGCAAGCGUUGCUCGGAAUUACUGGGCGUAAAGGGCGCGUAGGCGGCCUUCUAAGUCGAACGUGAAAUCCCCGGGCUCAACCCGGGAACUGCGUCCGAUACUGGAAGGCUUGAAUCCGGGAGAGGGAUGUGGAAUUCCAGGUGUAGCGGUGAAAUGCGUAGAUAUCUGGAGGAACACCGGUGGCGAAGGCGACAUCCUGGACCGGUAUUGACGCUGAGGCGCGAAAGCCAGGGGAGCAAACGGG
RNAcentral lists this ribosomal RNA (253 nucleotides) under uncultured bacterium. Its description in RNAcentral is "partial 16S ribosomal RNA". It matches the Rfam family "Bacterial small subunit ribosomal RNA", at positions 524 to 776 of the family's 1533-position model. The record is from RNAcentral.